AGCCUGAACGCUGGCGGCGUGGCUAAGACAUGCAAGUCGCACGGGUGUAGCAAUACACCAGUGGCGGACGGGUGAGUAAAGUAUCGCUAACGUACCCUUUUGUCUGGGAUAGCCGAGGGAAACUUCGGGUAAUACCGGUUGACAUCACGAGCAGGCAUCUGCUUGUGCUCAAAGGCGUAAGCCGCUGAAAGGAGCGGGGCGAGUAUACGGUAUCAGCUAGUUGGCGGGGUAACGGCCCACCAAGGCGACGACGCGUAGCCGGACUGAGAGGUUGGCCGGCCACAUUGGGACUGAGACACUGCCCAGACUCCUACGGGGGGCUGCAGUAACGAAUCUUCCGCAAUGCACGCAAGUGUGACGGAGCGACGCCGCGUGCGGGACGAAGCCCCUCGGGGUGUAAACCACUGUCAGGGGAUAGGAGAGUUCUGAUCAUCCCCAGAGGAAGGCACGGCUAACUCUGUGCCAGCAGCCGC
This 473-nucleotide ribosomal RNA is filed under the name uncultured bacterium. Its description in RNAcentral is "SSU rRNA". It matches the Rfam family "Bacterial small subunit ribosomal RNA", at positions 26 to 518 of the family's 1533-position model. The record is from RNAcentral.